Halichondria panicea is the source of this 1392-nucleotide long non-coding RNA. RefSeq lists it as uncharacterized. NCBI's taxonomy places the organism in Eukaryota, Metazoa, Porifera, Demospongiae, Suberitida, Halichondriidae. The transcript is spliced from 3 exons. The record is from RefSeq and is a predicted model, not a curated record.
UACACUGGUCCGCCACCUCCGUAUCUCCAUAGAAACUGUUUCAGAAGGCCCCUCCGACCUCACGUCCUCUCUGACCUUUCAGCAAUCCAUCACUAUCACUGUGGGGGAGUUUGCAGGAGUCCUUCCCGACUAUCACAAGCCAGAUAUACUGGGGCUCAUCAACUCUUAUGUACUUGUAGCCUAAGGGGGUCUUGAUAGCGGAGCCACCACUGGACUGUCUGUACAUCCUCUGGCACCUCAGGACACUCAAAACAGCCCCAUGUUGACUACCUCCCUGGUCAAGUGUUUGAGGGCGGUGGCUGACACCUGUCACGCAUCAGUGCUAGAGCCGGCGUUCCCAGGGCAACUGUUUGCCUCCCUCGUUCAAUUGCUCCUCAUACGAGAGCCCAACACACAGCUGGAUGUGGCCCUACUCUGGCAUCGUCUCGUACAAUACCAUGCCAACAAGGACAAGAUUCCUCUCAACACGUAUGUGGAUGUGUGUGUGUGUGUGUGUACCUUGCUAUGUUCAGUGUGCAUUUGAGGCACACUAUAUUUUAUUUGUUAGUUACACAGGUCCAUAUGAGCUUUUGUCUUAGCUUUCACUACAUGUAUGUCAUGUGCAGUGCAUACAGCUACAUGUACGUGUAUUUAUACCCUCCCCUUGUGCAGUGAUUGGGUGAGUCUGGAGGGUGUGGUUUAGAAAGGAUUCCUCUCUAAAACAGUCAACUCUCUCUUCACCAAUCUCCUGGAACUGGCCAAAACUCUCUGCACUAGCCCUGCUAACACACUCGCUUUCUACCAACUCGUAUUUCUCCUGACACUGGAAUUCUCUUAUCAAAGGCUCUCAGAUAUACUGGUCUUCCUAUACCAGCUGCAAGAGCUUGCUGUGAAGGAGAAAAGUCUUGAGGCACAUCACAGAGUGGUGCUACAUGCUACAGUGGCAGGUGUGCUGUAUCUAGCGUCCAAGAUUAGUCGAAACGAGGUACUCAAGACGCACAUCGAUGGAGUGAUUGCUAAGAGGAAGGAGACAGCUCCGAAGGCUAUUGUGGGACAUUCUUCUAGAAGGAAGUGCAGUCAUCUAGACAUGGAGGAGAAGCUGCUCAAGAGAUAUCAAAUCAUGGACCCGGGUGUCAUGGCUGAGCUGGAGUGAAAAUUGGAACUAUGCAGAUAUGAGUAAUUUUAAAUUAGCAAGCACACAAACUCAAAGUGGGAGAAUACCGUUAAAUUUCAUUGCUAGAUUUUCAGUAGUUGAGUGUACAUGCACGUCACUAUUGUAUGUCGAGUAUUCUCCACCUGGCAGCAACUUAUUGAUGUUCCCCUGAGUGAGACCAUUCGAUGUCUAGAGGAUGACCUGCUGAGGGAGUUGGAGGAGAAGCUGCUCGAGAGGUCUCAAAUCAUGGACCCAGGUGU